GAGGAAUAUUGGACAAUGGGUGGAAGCCUGAUCCAGCCAUCCCGCGUGAAGGACGACGGCCCUAUGGGUUGUAAACUUCUUUUGUACAGGGAUAAACCUCCCCUCGUGAGGGGAGCUGAAGGUACUGUACGAAUAAGCACCGGCUAACUCCGUGCCAGCAGCCGCGGUAAUACGGAGGGUGCAAGCGUUAUCCGGAUUUAUUGGGUUUAAAGGGUCCGUAGGCGGGCCCGUAAGUCAGUGGUGAAAUCUCGCAGCUUAACUGCGAAACUGCCAUUGAUACUGCGGGUCUUGAGUGAAUUUGAAGUGGCUGGAAUAAGUAGUGUAGCGGUGAAAUGCAUAGAUAUUACGUAGAACACCGAUUGCGAAGGCAGGUCACUAAGAUUCAACUGACGCUGAGGGACGAAAGCGUGGGGAGCGAAC
Molecule: ribosomal RNA, 420 nt
Filed under: uncultured bacterium
Lineage: Bacteria
Description: bacterial SSU rRNA
Rfam family: Bacterial small subunit ribosomal RNA
Source: RNAcentral